GGACUACCGGGGUAUCUAAUCCCGUUCGCUCCCCUAGCUUUCGCCCCUGAGCGUCAGGUACCAUCCAGGACAUUGCCUUCGCCAUUGGUGUUCUUCCAGAUAUCUACGCAUUUCACCACUACACCUGGAGUUCCAUGUCCCUCUCUGGCCCUCAAGUCUGUCAGUCUUCGAGGCACUUACUCGGUUAAGCCGAGCACUGUCACCCCAAACUUAGCAGACCGCCUGCGAGCGCUUUACGCCCAAUAAAUCCGGACAACGCUUGCCCCCUACGUAUUACCGCGGCUGCUGGCAC
RNAcentral lists this ribosomal RNA (292 nucleotides) under uncultured bacterium. Its description in RNAcentral is "partial 16S ribosomal RNA". The record is from RNAcentral.